RNAcentral lists this ribosomal RNA (426 nucleotides) under uncultured Gammaproteobacteria bacterium. RNAcentral describes it as "bacterial SSU rRNA". It matches the Rfam family "Bacterial small subunit ribosomal RNA", at positions 9 to 431 of the family's 1533-position model. RNAcentral also lists the same sequence under 1 other name. The record is from RNAcentral. Lineage: Bacteria; Pseudomonadati; Pseudomonadota; Gammaproteobacteria.
GAGUUUGAUCCUGGCUCAGAGUGAACGCUGGCGGUAGGCCUAACACAUGCAAGUCGAACGGCAGCACAGCAGUAGCAAUACUGUGGGUGGCGAGUGGCGGACGGGUGAGGAAUACAUCGGAAUCUACUCUGUCGUGGGGGAUAACGUAGGGAAACUUACGCUAAUACCGCAUACGACCUACGGGUGAAAGUGGGGGACCGCAAGGCCUCACGCGAUUGAAUGAGCCGAUGUCGGAUUAGCUAGUUGGCGGGGUAAAGGCCCACCAAGGCGACGAUCCGUAGCUGGUCUGAGAGGAUGAUCAGCCACACUGGAACUGAGACACGGUCCAGACUCCUACGGGAGGCAGCAGUGGGGAAUAUUGGACAAUGGGGGCAACCCUGAUCCAGCAAUGCCGCGUGAGUGAUGAAGGCCUUAGGGUUGUAAAGC